AGGCACUGAAAAUGCCUAGAUGAGUGUAUUAACUCCAUAAACA
This 43-nucleotide transfer RNA is filed under the name Muntiacus sp. VIE1. RNAcentral describes it as "partial tRNA-Phe". The record is from RNAcentral. Lineage: Eukaryota; Metazoa; Chordata; Mammalia; Artiodactyla; Cervidae.